Molecule: long non-coding RNA, 1152 nt
Organism: Notolabrus celidotus (New Zealand spotty)
Lineage: Eukaryota; Metazoa; Chordata; Actinopteri; Labriformes; Labridae
Exons: 3
Source: RefSeq, a predicted model, not a curated record
CACAACUUUUUUACCCACUUCCUUUCACAACAAACUCGCUGUCGCUGAGCGUGGGGUCGAAAGUCAGACUGGCUCCCUCUAGCGUCAUGGAGUGGAAAUGACACGCCGUCUCAAAACAGAGCCUCAAACCUGUUGGUGACGGGCAUUCCUGCACCAUCAGAGAAGUUUCUGGACCCGUGCAACCCCUCAGGAGUGCCUCUCUCUCUCCCCUGAGCUCACUCAGUAGCUGCCCACUACAAACAUGUGUUGCACCAGACCUCUCAGUAAAAAACUUCUGGAAAGAGAACAGCUUCCUAUUCCGUAUGUCCCCUUGGAGAUGACUGUAGCUGCGCACAUGCCUCCCCUGCGCUCCUCCAGCCCGACCCAGCGGGCCCCCGGUGGCCCUGUGCCUAAAACCAACCUCAGUCUCAGAAAUGUUCAGAGGAACCUUAAGAGUCCGUGGAUUUGUGUGUCUCAGUUUGUCCCUGCGGUUCGGAUGGCAGGCUGCCCCGGUUAGAAGGAAGGAGAGAAGCACAAAAGCCACCAGGAGAGACUGAGUCAGAGAGGGGAGCAGUGUGGAUGAUCUUAGGCUGGAGCUGACCCCAGAUCCAGAACCAGAACCAGAACGAGCCCCAAACCAAGCCCUGGAGCCGGACGAGGCAGAAGCAGCCUUACUCCCUCCAGCAGCCCAUCUGACCAUGGUAGUGUGCUGUGUGGAGGACUAGAGGCAGCCUCAGAGCCUGGGACAUGCUGCUGGGGGCGAGAAGAGGCUGAAAGGGCAGGGAGGGGAGCCCUCCACAGUCCAGAGGAUGAGACGGUCCCCAAGAUGAGUCCAGAUUAUGAACCACCUGAACAAUUUGAACAGCGUUAAGCCUCCUCAACAAGUGUUUAAAGCUGAUCCUCUGGGUUUUUUCCACUGAUGAAAGUUUCAGGCUGUUGAUCAGAAAAUCUACUGCCCGAGUCUGUUUUGGAAAAUGAAUCAGUCUGAUAAAGCUUAAAAAAAUACUCAAAUUACCCUGUUUGUGUACUCCAGUAACAAUCCUGUUUUCCACUCUCCUUCAGAUUUCUCUUUCUCUCAGAAUUGUUUUUGUAAUACGGUUGGUUUCAGUCUUGCUGCUCCAGUGUAACCUCUGUAUUUCCAUAAAAGGAAAUAAAGGAAAAAUAUAUAAAGUU